RNAcentral lists this ribosomal RNA (542 nucleotides) under Guinardia striata. RNAcentral describes it as "eukaryotic LSU rRNA". The stretch from base 1 to 106 matches the Rfam family "5.8S ribosomal RNA", at positions 50 to 154 of the family's 154-position model. Lineage: Eukaryota; Bacillariophyta; Coscinodiscophyceae; Rhizosoleniales; Rhizosoleniaceae. The record is from RNAcentral.
GAAAUGCGAUACGUAAUGCGAAUUGCAAAACUUCGUGAAUCAUUAAAAUUUUGAACGCACAUUGCGCCCUCAGGAAAUGCCUGAGGGCAUACUUAUUUGAGUGUCUAUAUACCCCACUCAUCCCAGUGAUGUAUGUCAUGUAUGUUGCUGGAGAUGGAUUAUGGUUUUGAACGUUGCGCAAGUGACCUUCUUUACUUGAAUGUAUAUGGCAAGCGGGGACUUGUUUCCUGUUAAUUGGUCUGCCUGCUCUGGUGAGAAGUGCUUUAUGUACUGAUUAUUGGGGAUUGUGUGACAGAUUGGUUGACGGUGAAUGAGGUUCUGCAAACCUAACUUUCCAAACGACGUGGUUGUCAAAGGCCAUGUUGUCUGAAAGGGCAGGAAGUAUAUUGGAAGGAGCUGACAUGCGCUUUUUUGUGCAUGCUGGUUUUGGCUAGUGUAUUUCUGAGCUCUUUAAUCAAAUUGGAUCUCAAAUUAAGUAAGACUACCCGCUGAAUUUAAGCAUAUAAUUAAGCGGAGGAAAAGAAACUAACAAGGAUUCCUCU